GGCGCCGCCUCAAAAACCCUGAUCGCCAACGCAAUGGUCCGCGCAUACACCCAGGAGCAUGUCUACCACCACCCGUGGGAUCGCGUCACCGCUGCCUCUUGGCGCAAGUUCACCGAUCCCGGCACCCCUGCCGUUCUCUCCCAUGUCGUUGACGUCCACACCCUCUCCCGCCGCCUGGACCCCACCGCCGGCAAACUCCACACCACCCGCUCCGUCACCGUCCGCUCCCCA
This 231-nucleotide unclassified non-coding RNA is filed under the name Hevea brasiliensis (rubber tree). Lineage: Eukaryota; Viridiplantae; Streptophyta; Magnoliopsida; Malpighiales; Euphorbiaceae. The record is from RNAcentral.